Molecule: long non-coding RNA, 343 nt
Organism: Gossypium arboreum
Lineage: Eukaryota; Viridiplantae; Streptophyta; Magnoliopsida; Malvales; Malvaceae
Exons: 2
Source: RefSeq, a predicted model, not a curated record
AUGCAAUGAAGGAAAGAAACAGAAUAGCAUGAAACGAAACAGAGAAGGAAGGAAGGAAAGAAAGAAAAGAAAGAAAAAAGGGAAAAUUUGGGAUUUGAAGCUUUAAGCUUUAAUAGCUAACAUCUCACCCGAGGCAUCUCUGAAGAAAGGAAAAGAAAAGGUGGACGAACAAUAAUUUGAGAAAUUACGGUUUGUAUUUUUAUAAUCUGAAUUUAAUUAUUAAUUGUUAUAUUUUAGUUUAAAUGUUUAUGGUAAGAAAAUUAAGGUAAGUGUAGUAUAUUUGAUAUUGAAUUGAGUAUUUGUGAAAUUAUAAUUUAUAUGAUAUUUGAGCAUUGGUAUUGAA